UAAUUGACAGAAUAAAAUGUAAAUUUCAGCAUAUUUUUUCACACAAAAAUGUGUUAGUGCGUAGAAAUGUGAUCAGGCUGAGCACAAUGGCCUUAUGGAUUUCAUGAUUUUCGGCGCUUAACGUGAAAACAGCUAAAGCACAGGAUUCACGAACAUUAAAUUUAUGCUUAAAUCUAUAUGCGAUACAUUAUGCAUAUAAUUAUAAUUCACGAUAAUAUCGCAUAUGGAAGUAACUGGAAUAAAUUUGGACUAUUUCCUUCGGAAGUUUACAGGACUGUCCUGUCAAAAGGCCUCCCUCGUGUUUACAUAUUUUGACAGGUCGAGUUGUUCUGGGACUAGGAACAAUGAUGAAUGAAUACCAGCACCAUGGAAACAAUGUCAUUUGCAAACUUUUUGAACCAGUGCUGGGCGUUCACAUUGACAUUUCUUGUUCAACAGGAAUACAUGAUGUCGACCAACAGUACAGCUAGAUGAAGAUAUAAAUUUAUUCAAAGAAAUAAUGGGACAAUGAAUACUAAAAUUGCCAAGAAGAAGACUGCCAAUUUACACACCAUUUUAUACAGUUAAAAUAUGAUAUGGAGAACAAAAUGCCUCAAUGCAGCCAGUUCUGGAGCUUUGGCUAGACUAUGAACAGUAGACAUCAAAAGAUGAUCAUCUGAAGGGCCACAAUUGUUUAAAGCACUGGUCAACAAAAACUGAACUAUUUGAUGGAUCAUACAUCUGCAGAAUGUACUACCAUAUUUCCAGAAUCAGAGAAAUAGAAAUUUCAAGUAUUAGAGAGAAAGAAAAGUAUGCAUCAUGUAUGAAGAACUGCCUAAGAAUAAUUUGCAAAAUACAUUGAAAUCUAACAAUUGCUAAUUGCAUAAGGAAGUUAAGAAAGGUGUACUCUUCUGGAAAAUAUGUGUCCAGUGCAAUAUUUCUUUUCCAACUUUGUGAGCAUAAUUUUGAAUAAAAAUUGCAACAUGGCUACAGGGAUAAUACAAAAGGUUUAAUCUUAUUUCCAAACACAUUAGGGGAAUCAGAGAAGAAAUAUCAAGAAUUUGGAUAAAAGAAAUAAUUGUCAUGAAUGAAGAACUUGCUUUUUAUUACUUUACAAAAUACUUUUUAUCCGCACAACUGUUAAUGAUAUUAUGAAUAUGGAAGUUAAAAGUGUGGACUUUGAUUAAUCUUCAACUUCUCUGAGCAUAGUUCUUCAUAAAAAUUGUAACUUUAUAAAAUAGUCUUGUAGAAAAAGUGUAAGUCUUUCAUACUUGUUUUAUAGAAAAUGUUUCUGGAUGUUUCAAUGUAAGUUUGCUAGACCCAGACCACUAGCUCCUAAGUCAAGGUUGCACUUAGAUGUCAAAGGUUAAAAGGGUCUGUUUCUGUCUGGUCAAUACUGCCAUACAUAAAGGGAUUUUGGAAUUAUUCGGCAUAAAGUUCACCAUAAAGAGACAACGUAUUAUGCGCAAGACCCAAACCCUUGCUCCAAGGUCAAGGUCACACUUAGAGGUCAAAGGUUAAUAGAGUCUUUUUGGUGUCUGGUCAAUAACUCUGCGAUCCAUGAAGGGACUUUUAGAUAACUUGGCAUAAAUGUUCACCAUAAUGAAACCAGGUGUCAUGCCCAAGACCAAGACCCCUAGCUCGAAGGUCACACUUGGAGACCAAAGGUUAGAUGCAAAAAUGACUUUGUCCGUAGCAUUUCUUGUUCAUGCAUGGAGGGAUUUUGAUGUACAAUGGCAAAAAUGUUCAUCAUCAUGAGAUGGUGUGUGAUGAGUAAGAACCAG
This is a long non-coding RNA of Mercenaria mercenaria, 1763 nucleotides long. RefSeq lists it as uncharacterized. The transcript is spliced from 5 exons. NCBI's taxonomy places the organism in Eukaryota, Metazoa, Mollusca, Bivalvia, Venerida, Veneridae. The record is from RefSeq and is a predicted model, not a curated record.